Molecule: long non-coding RNA, 1098 nt
Filed under: Canis lupus familiaris (dog)
Lineage: Eukaryota; Metazoa; Chordata; Mammalia; Carnivora; Canidae
Description: lncRNA (ENSCAFG00000058026.1)
Source: RNAcentral
CAGGCAGGGAGCGGGCCGCCUCGCCUCGCCUCGCCUCGCCUCGCCUCGCCGGCCGCCGCCGCCGCCUCCCGCCCGGGCCGCAGCUCCGGCCGAGGCGGCUCGGGGGCGGCGCCGGCGGGCGGGCGCUCCGGGGGCGGUUUCCUCGGCCCCGGCGGCCUCGCCUCGCGCGGCGUCCGCGGAGGAAGCGCGGCGGCCCGAGGGCCCGGGCGACCCCGGCUGCGACCGAGACGGCGGCCUCCUUCCCCGGCGGCGCUGGCCCGCUCCUCGGGCGGCUCCUCCUCCUUUGUCUGGGUUCGCCCCCCGGCGCGGGGCACUGCUGACCUCGCCCCCGCCCCGACUCCCGCUACGGCGGCGGCAGCUCGUCUCCUCAGCGCCUCAUCCCCGCCCUCCCGACAGGCAGCGCCGCCCGGCCCGCCCGAGUCACCUCCAGAGGGCCCUGGGGACCGAGCGGGCGUGCGCUUCGGGCGGGCGAGCCCCACUCCCGCGCACAGCGCUGGCGGCCGCCGUCGGCCCUGCGGCAGCCGCGCACCGCGCCCGGGGGCAGCCGCCGAGCUCCGGGCUCCGGCAGUCGCCGCUCGGCCCGCCCCCUGGGCCCGGCGCUCAUUAUCCCGGGUCGCCGGAGAAGCCCCGCACGGAGCAUGCGCGCCGCGGAGCGGGCUGAGGCGCCGGCCGGUCGCGGGGUGGCGGGGUGGCGGGGCGGCGGGGGCUCCGGGGCCGGCCGGCGGGGCGGGGGGGGGUCGGCCCGUGCCGGGGCCCGCCGGGGGCCCUUCUCACAGACCACCCCACUCCACUGCGUUUUACACCCACGCUCCCCUCUCUCGACCUUCCCGAGACGGGCCUGAUUCGAUGCCACUCUCGGAGCCCCGGUAUCGCGGUCACGGGAAGAAGUUGAGGAUGGAGAGACCGCGUUCGGGCCGUGUGCUCUACAGGGCUGUCGUGUGUCUAGGAGAUGGUGAACUGUCUCGUCGAGUGAGGUCUCGGGGAUUGAAGGCGGUGAGACGUGGGAUCAGCAACCGGCAACGAGGAAGGGAAAGGCAGAGCAGGGUUGGGGCCGGGGGGCGGGGAGUCUGUGCUACACUUCACUUCCACGGUUGGUAA